UGGGGGAUAUUGCACAAUGGGGGGAACCCUGAUGCAGCGACGCCGCGUGGAGGAAGAAGUAUCUCGGUAUGUAAACUCCUAUCAGCAGGGAAGAAGACAGACGGUACCUGACUAAGAAGCCCCGGCUAACUACGUGCCAGCAGCCGCGGUAAUACGUAGGGGGCGAGCGUUAUCCGGAUUUACUGGGUGUAAAGGGAGCGUAGACGGCCAUGCAAGCUCGGUGUGAAAGGUGCGGGCAUAACCCGCAGACUGCACUGAGAACUGUAUGGCUGGAGUGCUGGAGGGGCAGGCGGAAUUCCUGGUGUAGCGGUGAAAUGCGUAGAUAUCAGGAGGAACACCGGUGGCGAAGGCGGCCUGCUGGACAGCGACUGACGUUGAGGCUCGAGAGCGUGGGGAGCGAACAGG
Molecule: ribosomal RNA, 405 nt
Filed under: uncultured bacterium
Lineage: Bacteria
Description: bacterial SSU rRNA
Rfam family: Bacterial small subunit ribosomal RNA
Source: RNAcentral